ACGGUUACCUUGUUACGACUUAGCCCCAGUCAUCGGUUUUGCCCUAGGGCGCUGCUCGCGCUCACGCACUUCAGGCACUCCCGACUCCCAUGGCUUGAUGGGCGGUGUGUACAAGGCCCGGGAACGUAUUCACCGCGCCGUGGCUGAUGCGCGAUUACUAGCGAAUCCAGCUUCAUGGAGUCGGGUUGCAGACUCCAAUCCGAACUGAGACAGGCUUUCGGGUUCCGCUCCCUGUCGCCAGGUGGCUUCCCGCUGUACCUGCCAUUGUAACACGUGUGUCGCCCCGGACGUAAGGGCCGUGCUGAUUUGACGUCAUCCCCGCCUUCCUCGCAGCUUGCGCCGGCAGUCCCGCCAGAGUCCCCAGCUUUGCCUGUUGGCAACUGGCGGUAGGGGUUGCGCUCGUUAUGGCACUUAAGCCGACACCUCACGGCACGAGCUGACGACAACCAUGCAGCACCUCGUCGCAGGUCCGUAGACGGGCAUCCUUUCAGACACCCUUCCUGCAACGUUUGAGCCC
RNAcentral lists this ribosomal RNA (517 nucleotides) under uncultured bacterium. RNAcentral's name for it is "partial 16S ribosomal RNA". The record is from RNAcentral.